GGGCGAAAGACUAAUCGAACC
RNAcentral lists this non-coding RNA (21 nucleotides) under Arabidopsis thaliana (thale cress). RNAcentral also lists the same sequence under 2 other names. Lineage: Eukaryota; Viridiplantae; Streptophyta; Magnoliopsida; Brassicales; Brassicaceae. The record is from RNAcentral.